RNAcentral lists this ribosomal RNA (299 nucleotides) under Belisana sp. Mal91. RNAcentral's name for it is "partial 12S ribosomal RNA". Lineage: Eukaryota; Metazoa; Arthropoda; Arachnida; Araneae; Pholcidae. The record is from RNAcentral.
AGUACUAUCUACAUGAAAAACUCAUAUAUAAUGGCGGUUUUAAUAACUUAGAGAAACUCGCUUAUUAAUCGACAACACCCGCUAAAUUUAACUUAGACAAUUCACAACGCUUAUAUACCGCCGUUAUUCAGGCUUAAUUAAAAAAUAAAACCCACCCCCUAUAAAUUUCACAAAAAAUCAGGUCAAGGUGUAGCUAAUAAACAAGACUAAGUAAGUUACAUUAAAAAUAAUUUAAGAAUUAAAAAAAACAUUAAACUAUGAAAAAGAAUUUAUAAGUACAUUAAAAUUAAAAUUUUAUA